This 29-nucleotide non-coding RNA is filed under the name Rattus norvegicus (Norway rat). Lineage: Eukaryota; Metazoa; Chordata; Mammalia; Rodentia; Muridae. The record is from RNAcentral.
UCCCUUGUGAUAGAAUUUUAACUGGUACC